This 1391-nucleotide non-coding RNA is filed under the name Streptomyces swartbergensis. RNAcentral describes it as "Bacterial large subunit ribosomal RNA". It matches the Rfam family "Bacterial large subunit ribosomal RNA", at positions 1557 to 2925 of the family's 2925-position model. Lineage: Bacteria; Bacillati; Actinomycetota; Actinomycetes; Kitasatosporales; Streptomycetaceae. The record is from Rfam by way of RNAcentral.
UGAGACCUGAUGCCGAGCCGAUUGUGGUGAAGUGGAUGAUCCUAUGCUGUCGAGAAAAGCCUCUAGCGAGUUUCAUGGCGGCCCGUACCCUAAACCGACUCAGGUGGUCAGGUAGAGAAUACCGAGGCGUUCGGGUGAACUAUGGUUAAGGAACUCGGCAAAAUGCCCCCGUAACUUCGGGAGAAGGGGGGCCAUUCUUGGUGAUCCGUUUUACACGGUGAGCUGGGGGUGGCCGCAGAGACCAGCGAGAAGCGACUGUUUACUAAAAACACAGGUCCGUGCGAAGCCGUAAGGCGAUGUAUACGGACUGACGCCUGCCCGGUGCUGGAACGUUAAGGGGACCGGUUAGUCACUCUUCGGGGUGGCGAAGCUGAGAACUUAAGCGCCAGUAAACGGCGGUGGUAACUAUAACCAUCCUAAGGUAGCGAAAUUCCUUGUCGGGUAAGUUCCGACCUGCACGAAUGGCGUAACGACUUCUCGACUGUCUCAACCAUAGGCCCGGUGAAAUUGCACUACGAGUAAAGAUGCUCGUUUCGCGCAGCAGGACGGAAAGACCCCGGGACCUUUACUACAGUUUGAUAUUGGUGUUCGGUUCGGCUUGUGUAGGAUAGCUGGGAGACUGUGAACUCUGGACGCCAGUUCAGGGGGAGUCGUCGUUGAAAUACCAGUCUGGUCGUGCUGGAUGUCUAACCUGGGUCCGUGAUCCGGAUCAGGGACAGUGUCUGAUGGGUAGUUUAACUGGGGCGGUUGCCUCCUAAAGAGUAACGGAGGCGCCCAAAGGUUCCCUCAGCCUGGUUGGCAAUCAGGUGUUGAGUGUAAGUGCACAAGGGAGCUUGACUGUGAGACCGACGGGUCGAGCAGGGACGAAAGUCGGGACUAGUGAUCCGGCGGUGGCUUGUGGAAGCGCCGUCGCUCAACGGAUAAAAGGUACCCCGGGGAUAACAGGCUGAUCUUCCCCAAGAGUCCAUAUCGACGGGAUGGUUUGGCACCUCGAUGUCGGCUCGUCGCAUCCUGGGGCUGGAGUCGGUCCCAAGGGUUGGGCUGUUCGCCCAUUAAAGCGGUACGCGAGCUGGGUUUAGAACGUCGUGAGACAGUUCGGUCCCUAUCCGCUGYGCGCGYAGGAGUCUUGAGAAGGGCUGUCCCUAGUACGAGAGGACCGGGACGGACGAACCUCUGGUGUGCCAGUUGUUCUGCCAAGGGCAUGGCUGGUUGGCUACGUUCGGGAGGGAUAACCGCUGAAAGCAUCUAAGCGGGAAGCCUGCUUCGAGAUGAGGACUCCCACCUCCUAGAGAGGGUAAGGCUCCCAGUAGACGACUGGGUUGAUAGGCCGGAUAUGGAAGCACGGUAACGUGUGGAGUUGACCGGUACUAAUAGGCCGAGGGCUUGUCCUC